UGGGGAAUCAUGGUCAAUGGGCGAAAGCCUGAACCUGCGACGCCGCGUGAGUGAUGAAGGUCGUAAGAUCGUAAAACUCUUUUCAGGGAUCUUAAAGCCUGUCUGUCAACAACAGGCAGGUCUGACUCUCCCUGGAAGAAGCCCCAGCCAACUACGUGCCAGCAGCUGCGGUAAUACGUAGGGGGCGAGCGUUAUUCGGAAUUACUGGGUGUAAAGGGUAUGUAGGCGGCCCUUCAAGUCGCGUGUCAAAGUCCAGUGCUCAACGCUGGGUGUGCGCGCGAGACUGACGGGCUGGAGGGCUGGAGAGGUGAGCGGAAUUCCCGGGGGAGUGGUAAAAUACGUAGAGAUCGGGAGGAACACCAGCGGCGCAGGCGGCUCACUAGACAGUUUCUGACGCUAAGAUACGAAAGCGUGGGGAGCAAACA
RNAcentral lists this ribosomal RNA (425 nucleotides) under uncultured prokaryote. Its description in RNAcentral is "bacterial SSU rRNA". It matches the Rfam family "Bacterial small subunit ribosomal RNA", at positions 355 to 774 of the family's 1533-position model. The record is from RNAcentral.